This 253-nucleotide ribosomal RNA is filed under the name uncultured bacterium. RNAcentral describes it as "partial 16S ribosomal RNA". It matches the Rfam family "Bacterial small subunit ribosomal RNA", at positions 524 to 776 of the family's 1533-position model. The record is from RNAcentral.
UACGUAGGGGGCAAGCGUUGUCCGGAAUCAUUGGGCGUAAAGCGCGUGUAGGCGGCUGGGUAAGUCCGCUCUGAAAGCCCGGGGCUCAACCCUGGGAGGCGGGUGGAUACUGCUCAGCUCGAGUCCGGAAGAGGAGUGUGGAAUUCCUGGUGUAGCGGUGAAAUGCGCAGAUAUCAGGAGGAACACCAAUGGCGAAGGCAGCACUCUGGGACGGUACUGACGCUGAGACGCGAAAGCGUGGGGAGCAAACAGG